GACGAACGCUGUCGGCGUGCUUAACACAUGCAAGUCGAACGGAAAGGCCCUGCUUUUGUGGGGUGCUCGAGUGGCGAACGGGUGAGUAACACGUGAGUAACCUGCCCUUGACUUUGGGAUAACUUCAGGAAACUGGGGCUAAUACCGGAUAGGAGCUCCUGCUGCAUGGUGGGGGUUGGAAAGUUUCGGCGGGUGGGGCUGGACUCGCGGCUUAUCAGCUUGUUGGUUGGGUAGUGGCUUACCAAGGCUUUGACGGGUAGCCGGCCUGAGAGGGUGACCGGCCACAUUGGGACUGAGAUACGGCCCAGACUCCUACGGGAGGCAGCAGUGGGGAAUAUUGCACAAUGGGCGGAAGCCUGAUGCAGCAACGCCGCGUGCGGGAUGACGGCCUUCGGGUUGUAAACCGCUUUCGCCUGUGACGAAGCGUGAGUGACGGUAAUGGGUAAAGAAGCACCGGCUAACUACGUG
RNAcentral lists this ribosomal RNA (468 nucleotides) under uncultured bacterium. RNAcentral describes it as "partial 16S ribosomal RNA". It matches the Rfam family "Bacterial small subunit ribosomal RNA", at positions 28 to 507 of the family's 1533-position model. The record is from RNAcentral.